This 229-nucleotide ribosomal RNA is filed under the name uncultured bacterium. Its description in RNAcentral is "partial 16S ribosomal RNA". It matches the Rfam family "Bacterial small subunit ribosomal RNA", at positions 568 to 796 of the family's 1533-position model. The record is from RNAcentral.
UCCGUAGGCGGAUUGAUAAGUCAGAGGUGAAAUCCCACAGCUUAACUGUGGAACUGCCUUUGAAACUGUUAGUCUUGAGUUAUAUGGAAGUAGAUAGAAUGUGUAGUGUAGCGGUGAAAUGCAUAGAGAUUACACAGAAUACCGAUUGAGAAGGCAGUCUACUACGUAUAUACUGACGCUAAUAGACGAAAGCGUGGGGAGCGAACAGGAUUAGAUACCCUGGUAGUCC